GAUGAACGCUGGCGGCGUGCCUAAUACAUGCAAGUCGAGCGAACAGAUGAGGAGCUUGCUCCUCUGACGUUAGCGGCGGACGGGUGAGUAACACGUGGAUAACCUACCUAUAAGACUGGGAUAACUUCGGGAAACCGGAGCUAAUACCGGAUAAUAUAUUGAACCGCAUGGUUCAAUAGUGAAAGACGGUUUUGCUGUCACUUAUAGAUGGAUCCGCGCCGCAUUAGCUAGUUGGUAAGGUAACGGCUUACCAAGGCGACGAUGCGUAGCCGACCUGAGAGGGUGAUCGGCCACACUGGAACUGAGACACGGUCCAGACUCCUACGGGAGGCAGCAGUAGGAAAUCUUCCGCAAUGGGCGAAAGCCUGACGGAGCAACGCCGCGUGAGUGAUGAAGGUCUUCGGAUCGUAAAACUCUGUUAUUAGGGAAGAACAAAUGUGUAAGUAACUAUGCACGUCUUGACGGUACCUAAUCAGAAAGCCACGGCUAACUACGUG
Molecule: ribosomal RNA, 497 nt
Filed under: uncultured bacterium
Lineage: Bacteria
Description: partial 16S ribosomal RNA
Rfam family: Bacterial small subunit ribosomal RNA
Source: RNAcentral